GGGAAGUUGGCUCAGUGGUAGAGUGCUUGCCUUGUAUGCAUGAGGCCCUAGGUUUGAUUCCUCA
Molecule: transfer RNA, 64 nt
Filed under: Dipodomys ordii (Ord's kangaroo rat)
Lineage: Eukaryota; Metazoa; Chordata; Mammalia; Rodentia; Heteromyidae
Rfam family: tRNA
About the family: Transfer RNA (tRNA) molecules are approximately 80 nucleotides in length.
Source: Rfam by way of RNAcentral